RNAcentral lists this ribosomal RNA (604 nucleotides) under Macrophomina phaseolina. RNAcentral describes it as "eukaryotic LSU rRNA". The stretch from base 225 to 378 matches the Rfam family "5.8S ribosomal RNA". The record is from RNAcentral. Lineage: Eukaryota; Fungi; Ascomycota; Dothideomycetes; Botryosphaeriales; Botryosphaeriaceae.
UGGUAUGAUCUUCCGUAGGKGGAACCUGCGGAAGGAUCAUUACCGAGUUGAUUCGGGCUCCGUCCCGAUCCUCCCACCCUUUGUAUACCUACCUCUGUUGCUUUGGCGGGCCGCGGUCUUCCGCGGCCGCCCCCCGAUUUUGGGGGUUGGCUAGUGCCCGCCAGAGGACUAUCAAACUCCAGUCAGUAAACGUUGCAGUCUGAAAAAAAUAUUAAAUAAACUAAAACUUUCAACAACGGAUCUCUUGGUUCUGGCAUCGAUGAAGAACGCAGCGAAAUGCGAUAAGUAAUGUGAAUUGCAGAAUUCAGUGAAUCAUCGAAUCUUUGAACGCACAUUGCGCCCCUUGGUAUUCCGGGGGGCAUGCCUGUUCGAGCGUCAUUUCAACCCUCAAGCUCUGCUUGGUAUUGGGCACCGUCCUUUGCGGGCGCGCCUCAAAGACCUCGGCGGUGGCGUCUUGCCUCAAGCGUAGUAGAAUACACCUCGCUUCGGAGCGUAAGGCGUCGCCCGCCGGACGAACCUUCUGAACUUUUCUCAAGGUUGACCUCGGAUCAGGUAGGGAUACCCGCUGAACUUAAGCAUAUCAAUAGGCGGAGGAAAUAUUCSA